GCAGAACACACACACUCUUCAUCAUCACACAAGACUAAACUACAACUAUGAACAACAUCUGCAUCUUCAUCUGGACCAUUGCACUGUUUAUUCAAGAGUGUAGAGGACAGAUCACUGUAACUCAGAGUCCAUCAAUAUCAGCAGUUCAACCAGGAGAACAAGUCAGAAUAAACUGUAAAACCAGCAGUAAUGUGAAUGAUGGUUAUCGUAUGGCCUGGUACUCACAGAAACCUGGAGAAGCUCCUAAACUCCUCAUAUAUUAUGCAUCAAAUCGUAAUACUGGAACUCCAUCUAGAUUCAGUGGCAGUGGAUCUGGCAGUGAUUUUACUCUGAGCAUCAGUGGAGUCCAGACUGAAGAUACAGGAGAUUAUUACUGUCAGAGUGUUCACUGUCCUAGUAGCUGUGUGUUCACACAGUGAUAAAGAGUCGUACAAAAACCUCUGUCAGUCAGACGUCACAGUGACUGCACUGAUACAGCUGAGAGAAACUGCAGCUGCUGAUGGAGGAUCACACACUACACAAUAUCAAACCUUUCACACACUU
Molecule: non-coding RNA, 543 nt
Organism: Pimephales promelas (fathead minnow)
Lineage: Eukaryota; Metazoa; Chordata; Actinopteri; Cypriniformes; Leuciscidae
Source: the annotation of a RefSeq genome assembly